This is a non-coding RNA of Cinara cedri, 278 nucleotides long. The record is from the annotation of a GenBank genome assembly. Lineage: Eukaryota; Metazoa; Arthropoda; Insecta; Hemiptera; Aphididae.
ACAUAGAAAAAGCUUUGCUUAUUGAAUAAAAAUUGGUUUUUGUAAACCUGGGUUUUGAAUUAUCUAUAUCGAGUUAGGUAUGAACAGAAGAAAAUCAUACGAUUCAUUCAUGAAUCCCGAUUAUUAAAUUCUGAGUAAGGAAUGUAAUGGUUUUUUUUAUGGUGUUUUUUUUAUUUCUAUAAACUACUACUAUUGUAUUCUGCCAGACAUCUUGCUCCAAUCAAAAACUUUAUAAAAAUUGUCUUGUAGAAUGUUUGAUCAUAAUUGAUACAUUGAGG